RNAcentral lists this ribosomal RNA (315 nucleotides) under uncultured eukaryote. RNAcentral describes it as "partial 18S ribosomal RNA". It matches the Rfam family "Eukaryotic small subunit ribosomal RNA", at positions 1470 to 1796 of the family's 1831-position model. The record is from RNAcentral.
CCCUUAGACGUUCUGGGCCGCACGCGCGCUACACUGACCAGUGCAACAAGCAUCCGUCCUUGGCCGACAGGCCCGGGCAAUCUUUGAACGCUGGUCGUGAUGGGGAUAGACUUUUGCAAUUUUUGGUCUUCAACGAGGAAUUCCUGGUAAACGCAAGUCAUCAACUUGCAUUGAUUACGUCCCUGCCCUUUGUACACACCGCCCGUCGCACCUACCGAUUGAAUGGUCCGGUGAAGCCUCCGGAUUGGCGCGCACCUCGGUGCCGCCGAGAAGUUGGCUAAACCUUACCAUUUAGAGGAAGGUGAANUCGUANCA